This 280-nucleotide long non-coding RNA is filed under the name Solanum tuberosum (potato). Its description in RNAcentral is "long non-coding RNA (STUB_LNC003662)". The record is from RNAcentral. Lineage: Eukaryota; Viridiplantae; Streptophyta; Magnoliopsida; Solanales; Solanaceae.
GAGUUUUAUACGUGGGACUACAAAAAUUCUCCAAGAAACAUGUAAUUUACAUUAUAGAGACUAUACAAGUUGAAUUUCAAUAGAUCCCUAAGAUUUAGGAGACCUAAGUCUGAACAACUUAUGGAGAAACUGAAGAAUUGUAAGAAUUAUAGGGACCUAAUAGGUGAAAGGAACCCACUAGUGAAUUCCCACAUACCUGGUGAUGAAAAUUACAGAGAAAUACUUUGGAUUUUGGGGCUGAACUUGAAGAAGACAUACUUGUUCUUUGGAGAAACUGUCG